Daphnia magna is the source of this 484-nucleotide long non-coding RNA. RefSeq lists it as uncharacterized. The record is from RefSeq and is a predicted model, not a curated record. NCBI's taxonomy places the organism in Eukaryota, Metazoa, Arthropoda, Branchiopoda, Diplostraca, Daphniidae. The transcript has 3 exons.
UUUCCAUUGAAAUUAUCUUCCAUUCCAUUCAUAAUUGGAUUACGAAAUUCCUUCGUUAUCAGUCCUACAUUUUGUUUGAGUGAUCUCUUUCAUCUAUCGUCCGCAUCUGACAGUGUUUUUGUUCUUCUUCGACAUGUCUUGGAGGUGUUGUGUUUCCGGUUGUGGUUCCGAAGGAGUACCUUUAUUUCAUAUUCCAAAAUUUAAUGAAAGUUUAAAAACUGCUUUGCAAGAAAAAAAAAAGGGGUCGUAGAAUUGUUUGGCUUCAAAAGCUUAACGUGAAGGAAUGUGACUUAAACAACAACACUCGUGUUUGCUCUCGUCAUUUUGCAUCUGGUAGGCCAUGUAAGAAUUCUUUCGAUAACUCUCACCCAGACUGGGCACCUUCACUACACAUCAGCAAUUCCAUUUUUGACAGGGUUGUACAGAGAAACAUAAGUCGACAUUCCAGAAGGCUUGAAAGGGAAUCAAGAACAUUGGAACAGAU